CCUCCUGGUGAAAAGAUAGCCCAGCCCCGCCCGACCCAUCAGUCCCUCCAGCUCUGGCAGGGUCCAGGCUGGCAAGGGUACAGAGAAGGGGAGAGAGACAGACAGACCAACCCUAGGGAGAUGCCAAGGUGCCCAAUUCAGGAUCCCCUGUCCCCGGCAGGUGACUACCUCUAUCCCAACCUGAGUCCUGCACACAGCUCUCAUCUCGCGCCAGCGAUGGACUGUCCAAGCAUCACCUGGAGAAACGCUUUCCCUUGAACUCGGA
Molecule: non-coding RNA, 265 nt
Organism: Caretta caretta (loggerhead turtle)
Lineage: Eukaryota; Metazoa; Chordata; Testudines; Cheloniidae
Source: RefSeq, a predicted model, not a curated record